Molecule: long non-coding RNA, 796 nt
Filed under: Myripristis murdjan (pinecone soldierfish)
Lineage: Eukaryota; Metazoa; Chordata; Actinopteri; Holocentriformes; Holocentridae
Description: lncRNA (ENSMMDG00005021899.1)
Source: RNAcentral
AUACGCGGUCAGGAAAAGUGUUGCUCCAAUGGCCGCGACAGGGACAAAGAGGAAGAAAACUGCAGCAACAAAUGUUAGGAUGGCGAACACUGCAGCUGCAGCAAUGGAUGACAAUCAUGACGAUGCUGGAGGGACAAUUGACUCGUCCUCUGAUGAUGCAUCAUGCUCCUCCGACUCCUCUUUGUCCUCUUCAUUUUCUGAGUCAUCGUCAUCAAGCUCUUCAUCCUCAUCAACCGAUUCAGACAAUGAAAGAAAAUCCAAGAAAAGAAGCGAGAAGAAAAAGAGGGGCCACCACCAUAAGAAAGACAAGAGGGACUACCACCACAAGAAGAACAAGAAGGAAAAGAAGAAGAUGAAAGGGAAGAGAAAGUGCCAAUAUAGCAGACAGAGAGCACGUCAUCCCAAAGAGGCCAUCAAGAGGUACCAGAAAGUCCUUAAGGCAUACAAGAAGGGAAGAAAGCUGAGUGCAGCAUACAGAAUGGUCGGUGUCGACCCAGACACCGUCGUUGCCAGUGCCCCAAUGUGUGAGCUGUAUGUGGUACAGAGAGCUGCUGGGUGCUUACACACCACAGCAACAACUGCAAGACUUUGCAAAACAAUGUUUGGAAGUUUUGAUCAAUGAUCCAGACCUUUUGAGGGAUGUUGAAAAUCAGAAGAAAAAAGGGAAACUGAUUCCUCUGUGUAAGAGAGCUUAGGGGUAACUUCCCCAGGGCCAGGUUGGUCAUUUAGAGAUGGGAUGGUGCCCGAGAGCAGUGGUUCUCAACUUUUGUUUUGUUGUUUGUGACUUUAGUUUGAC